This 227-nucleotide long non-coding RNA is filed under the name Ananas comosus (pineapple). Its description in RNAcentral is "long non-coding RNA (ACOM_LNC016658)". The record is from RNAcentral. Lineage: Eukaryota; Viridiplantae; Streptophyta; Magnoliopsida; Poales; Bromeliaceae.
NUGUAGCUAAGGGUUUGAAAAGAAUGAAAGAAAUGUAAUAAAUAUGGUUGUAUUUGGAAUAAUGUAAAUGUAAAGUGAAUGAGAUGAAUGUUUGUAAUAGAAUAGUUAUUUAUGUUUAUGAUGCAUUCCUUAUACAAUCUGUGUAUGAAUUUUAUUUCUGUUUAGAAUGUUUUGAAUUGUACUGAUUGUAAUGCCUUGGGCGGACAGAGAAAACUCUGUCCGUUCAG